AGAAGAAAAUUCCCACAAGAGAAGAUUAAUAAAGAUCCCCGAUCAUUGUGUAAUUUAAAUAACACACAACAUUACUUGUGUUAAGCAUAUUGAUUUUCAACAAAUUAACAACUUAUUUAUUACAAUGCAUGAAUAUAUUUAAUCUUGAAAUGCCUAUUUUUAGUACGGUAUACAUUUAUAUCAGAAUGUAUCAUAAAUGGAAUAUGCGUGUUUAGAACAUUCUGCAUAGGUACGUUAAAUUCAUUAUAGUUUUGUUUGUGAUUAGAAUACACAUUUGGUAGCCGUGGUGGUUCGUACUAGAAUGGUGUGACAAAUCUAAAUCCAAAUGAAAACGUUGCACACCGAGAAAACGGUAUUAACACCUAAAGCUAAAUACAUCCAUCAGCCAUUUUUCCUGAAGUAUAUAACUAUCAUAGCUAGAAUAUCUGGUCUGAUAACAGUAAUAAUGUUGUGGGUUUCAGCAAUUUUAAGAAUUAAAGCUGUUCAUAAUAUGGAUUAUAUAGGAUGGUAUAUCUUGGCAGUGGCCAUAGUAGUCACAUUCUUUGAAUUGACAUGGGUUAUAGAUAAAUCUGUUUGCUGUCUUCGUGAAGGGUAUUGUUGUAUGUGUUGGUCAGGUGUUUUAUGGGUUGAUAUCUGGAAGAGAGGAAUACUU
Long non-coding RNA from Patella vulgata (common limpet), 652 nucleotides. RefSeq lists it as uncharacterized. The record is from RefSeq and is a predicted model, not a curated record. NCBI's taxonomy places the organism in Eukaryota, Metazoa, Mollusca, Gastropoda, Patellidae. The transcript is spliced from 5 exons.